RNAcentral lists this ribosomal RNA (219 nucleotides) under uncultured bacterium. Its description in RNAcentral is "partial 16S ribosomal RNA". It matches the Rfam family "Bacterial small subunit ribosomal RNA", at positions 111 to 334 of the family's 1533-position model. The record is from RNAcentral.
UAAUGUAUGGGGAUCUGCCCGAUAGAGGGGGAUAACUACUGGAAACGGUGGCUAAUACCGCAUAAUGUCUACGGCCAAAGCAGGGGCUCUUCGGACCUUGCACUAUCGGAUGAACCCAUAUGGGAUUAGCUAGUAGGUGGGGUAAAGGCUCACCUAGGCGACGAUCUCUAGCUGGUCUGAGAGGAUGAUCAGCCACACUGGGACUGAGACACGGCCCAG